CGCGUAGGACGGUUUUGUAAGUCAGAUGUGAAAUCCCUGGGCUCAACCUGGGAACUGCAUUUGAUACUGCAUGGCUAGAGUAUGGAAGAGGGAAGUGGAAUUUCCGGUGUAGCGGUGAAAUGCGUAGAUAUCGGAAGGAACACCAGUGGCGAAAGCGACUUCCUGGUCCAAUACUGACGUUCAUGUGCGAAAGCGUGGGGAGCAAACAGGAUUAGAUACCCUGGUAGUCCACGCCAUAAACGAUGACAACUAGAUGUUGGGAGGGUCUGCCUCUCGGUGUCGCAGCUAACGCGUUAAGUUGUCCGCCUGGGGAGUACGGCCGCAAGGUUGAA
RNAcentral lists this ribosomal RNA (332 nucleotides) under uncultured bacterium. Its description in RNAcentral is "bacterial SSU rRNA". It matches the Rfam family "Bacterial small subunit ribosomal RNA", at positions 568 to 898 of the family's 1533-position model. The record is from RNAcentral.